GGUUAAGUUAGAAAGGGCGCACGGUGGAUGCCUUGGCACUAGGAGCCGAAGAAGGACGGGACUAACACCGAUAUGCUUUGGGGAGCUGUACGUAAGCGUUGAUCCAGAGAUUUCCGAAUGGGGGAACCCACUAUCUUUAGUCGGAUAGUAUCCUUACGUGAAUACAUAGCGUGAGGAAGGCAGACCCAGGGAACUGAAACAUCUAAGUACCUGGAGGAAGAGAAAGAAAAAUCGAUUUCCUGAGUAGCGGCGAGCGAAACGGAAAGAGCCCAAACCAAGAAGCUUGCUUCUUGGGGUUGUAGGACACUCUAUACGGAGUUACAAAAGAAAGUUAUAAAUGAAGCGGUCUGGAAAGGCCCGCCAAAGACGGUAACAGCCCGGUAGUUGAAAUAGCUUUCCCUCCAGAGUGGAUCCUGAGUACGGCGGAACACGUGAAAUUCCGUCGGAAUCCGGGAGGACCAUCUCCCAAGGCUAAAUACUCCCUAGUGACCGAUAGUGAACCAGUACCGUGAGGGACAGGUGAAAAGCACCCCGGACGGGGAGUGAAACAGUUCCUGAAACCGUGUGCCUACAAGUAGUUAGAGCCCGUUAAUGGGUGAUAGCGUGCCUUUUGUAGAAUGAACCGGCGAGUUACGAUUUGUUGCAAGGUUAAGCGGAAAAAGCGGAGCCGUAGCGAAAGCGAGUCUGAAUAGGGCGCAUAAGUAACAGGUCGUAGACCCGAAACCAGGUGAUCUACCCAUGUCCAGGAUGAAGGUAAGGUAAUACUUACUGGAGGUCCGAACCCACGCACGUUGAAAAGUGCGGGGAUGAGGUGUGGGUAGCGGAGAAAUUCCAAUCGAACUUGGAGAUAGCUGGUUCUCUCCGAAAUAGCUUUAGGGCUAGCCUCGAGGUAAAGAGUCAUGGAGGUAGAGCACUGUUUGGACUAGGGGCCCUUCUCGGGUUACCGAAUUCAGAUAAACUCCGAAUGCCAUGUACUUAUACUCGGGAGUCAGACUGCGAGUGAUAAGAUCCGUAGUCGAAAGGGAAACAGCCCAGACCACCAGUUAAGGUCCCCAAAUAUAUGUUAAGUGGAAAAGGAUGUGGGGUUGCUUAGACAACCAGGAUGUUGGCUUAGAAGCAGCCACCAUUGAAAGAGUGCGUAAUAGCUCACUGGUCGAGUGACCCCGCGCCGAAAAUGUACCGGGGCUAAACAUAUUACCGAAACUGUGGAUGAACCUCUUUAGAGGUUCGUGGUAGGAGAGCGUUCUAAGGGCGGUGAAGUCAGACCGGAAGGACUGGUGGAGCGCUUAGAAGUGAGAAUGCCGGUAUGAGUAGCGAAAGAAGGGUGAGAAUCCCUUCCACCGAAUAUCUAAGGUUUCCUGAGGAAGGCUCGUCCGCUCAGGGUUAGUCGGGACCUAAGCCGAGGCCGAUAGGCGUAGGCGAUGGACAACAGGUAGAGAUUCCUGUACCAGUGCUAAUUGUUUAACCGAUGGGGUGACACAGAAGGAUAGGGAAUCGCACGAAUGGAAAUGUGCGUCCAAGCAGUGAGUGUGAGAAGUAGGCAAAUCCGCUUCUCGCGAAGCAUGAGCUGUGAUGGGGAAGGAAAUUAAGUACGGAAGUUCCUGAUUUCACGCUGUCAAGAAAAGCCUCUAGGAAGAGUAGUACUGCCCGUACCGCAAACCGACACAGGUAGAUGAGGAGAGAAUCCUAAGGUGAGCGAGAGAACUCUCGUUAAGGAACUCGGCAAAAUGACCCCGUAACUUCGGGAGAAGGGGUGCUCUAUUAGGGUGCAAGCCCGAGAGAGCCGCAGUGAAUAGGCCCAGGCGACUGUUUAGCAAAAACACAGGUCUCUGCAAAACCGUAAGGUGACGUAUAGGGGCUGACGCCUGCCCGGUGCUGGAAGGUUAAGAGGAGUGCUUAGCUUCGGCGAAGGUACGAAUUGAAGCCCCAGUAAACGGCGGCCGUAACUAUAACGGUCCUAAGGUAGCGAAA
Molecule: ribosomal RNA, 1971 nt
Filed under: Listeria monocytogenes
Lineage: Bacteria; Bacillati; Bacillota; Bacilli; Caryophanales; Listeriaceae
Description: partial 23S ribosomal RNA
Rfam family: Bacterial large subunit ribosomal RNA
Source: RNAcentral